RNAcentral lists this ribosomal RNA (726 nucleotides) under Bacillus sp. FJAT-4622. RNAcentral's name for it is "bacterial SSU rRNA". It matches the Rfam family "Bacterial small subunit ribosomal RNA", at positions 61 to 769 of the family's 1533-position model. The record is from RNAcentral. Lineage: Bacteria; Bacillati; Bacillota; Bacilli; Caryophanales; Bacillaceae.
GUCGAGCGACUGAUUAGAAGCUUGCUUCUAUGACGUUAGCGGCGGACGGGUGAGUAACACGUGGGCAACCUGCCUGUAAGACUGGGAUAACUUCGGGAAACCGAAGCUAAUACCGGAUAGGAUCUUCUCCUUCAUGGGAGAUGAUUGAAAGAUGGUUUCGGCUAUCACUUACAGAUGGGCCCGCGGUGCAUUAGCUAGUUGGUGAGGUAACGGCUCACCAAGGCAACGAUGCAUAGCCGACCUGAGAGGGUGAUCGGCCACACUGGGACUGAGACACGGCCCAGACUCCUACGGGAGGCAGCAGUAGGGAAUCUUCCGCAAUGGACGAAAGUCUGACGGAGCAACGCCGCGUGAGUGAUGAAGGCUUUCGGGUCGUAAAACUCUGUUGUUAGGGAAGAACAAGUACGAGAGUAACUGCUCGUACCUUGACGGUACCUAACCAGAAAGCCACGGCUAACUACGUGCCAGCAGCCGCGGUAAUACGUAGGUGGCAAGCGUUAUCCGGAAUUAUUGGGCGUAAAGCGCGCGCAGGCGGUUUCUUAAGUCUGAUGUGAAAGCCCACGGCUCAACCGUGGAGGGUCAUUGGAAACUGGGGAACUUGAGUGCAGAAGAGAAAAGCGGAAUUCCACGUGUAGCGGUGAAAUGCGUAGAGAUGUGGAGGAACACCAGUGGCGAAGGCGGCUUUUUGGUCUGUAACUGACGCUGAGGCGCGAAAGCGUGGGGAGC